Molecule: long non-coding RNA, 312 nt
Filed under: Gossypium barbadense (sea-island cotton)
Lineage: Eukaryota; Viridiplantae; Streptophyta; Magnoliopsida; Malvales; Malvaceae
Description: long non-coding RNA (GBAR_LNC003915)
Source: RNAcentral
UGGCAGAAGCUGCACUGGGAUCUGAACCAUUGAUGGCAGCCUCGUGGAAUGCACCCAAACCAGGAUCUCUCUCAACUUGGCUUAGUGAAAAUGAUAAUAAAUGGUCUCUUUCAUAAGUAUGGAACUGAGAUAACAUAGGGUUUUCAGGCUCUUGAAAGGUCCAGCCACUUGAAGUACCUGAUGGAAUGAAAUAGAAGCCACCCAUAUGGUCAGAUGAAGAGGCCAUUGGUCCAACAUGACCAUGACUAUGACUUCUAUGGCUGCCCAGCCUUAGGGAGCCAGAAACAAUAGGUGUCCGUAAUGCUGGCAAGG